Molecule: ribosomal RNA, 449 nt
Filed under: uncultured bacterium
Lineage: Bacteria
Description: partial 16S ribosomal RNA
Rfam family: Bacterial small subunit ribosomal RNA
Source: RNAcentral
AGCGAACGCUGGCGGCAGGCCUAACACAUGCAAGUCGAACGAACUCUUCGGAGUUAGUGGCGGACGGGUGAGUAACACGUGGGAACGUGCCUUUAGGUUCGGAAUAACUCAGGGAAACUUGUGCUAAUACCGAAUGUGCCCUUCGGGGGAAAGAUUUAUCGCCUUUAGAGCGGCCCGCGUCUGAUUAGCUAGUUGGUGAGGUAACGGCUCACCAAGGCGACGAUCAGUAGCUGGUCUGAGAGGAUGGCCAGCCACACUGGGACUGAGACACGGCCCAGACUCCUACGGGAGGCAGCAGUGGGGAAUCUUGCGCAAUGGGCGAAAGCCUGACGCAGCCAUGCCGCGUGAAUGAUGAAGGUCUUAGGAUUGUAAAAUUCUUUCACCGGGGACGAUAAUGACGGUACCCGGAGAAGAAGCCCCGGCUAACUUCGUGCCAGCAGCCGCCGCCG